AGGGCAGACGGUGAAUGCCUUGGCUCUCGGAGGCGACGAAGGACGUGAUAAGCUGCGAAAAGCCCGGUUGAGGUGCAAAUAACCCUUGACGCCGGGAUGUCCGAAUGGGGAAACCCGAUUGGUAGAAGACCAAUCACAUCGAAAGAUGAGCGAACGUGGGGAACUGAAACAUCUAAGUACCCAUAGGAAGAGAAAAUAACAAUGAUUGCGUAAGUAGUGGCGAGCGAACGCGCAAAAGCCCAAACCAUAGAUGUUUUGGCAUCAUAUGGGGUUGUAGGAUCGCAAUGUGGCAAGAAACAAAGGAAGUGGAACCCGCUGGAAAGAGGACCAUAGAGGGUGAAAGUCCCGUACACGAAUCUUUUGUAAAGCCUAGCGAUAUCCUGAGUAAGUCGGGACACGUGAAAUCCUGACCGAAUCUGCGGGGACCAUCCCGUAAGGCUAAAUACUCCCGAGAGACCGAUAGUGAACCAGUACCGUGAGGGAAAGGUGAAAAGAACCUCGAAUAGAGGAGUGAAAUAGACCCUGAACCCGUCUGCCUACAAGCGGUCGGAGCAUCUUUAAGGUGUGACGGCGUGCCUUUUGCAUAAUGAACCUGCGAGUUGUUUUUUUUGGCAAGGUUAAGCAUCAGUAGGUGCGUAGCCGAAGCGAAAGCGAGUCUGAAUAGGGCGCCUAAGUCAAAAGGAGCAGACGCGAAACCAAGUGAUCUACCGAUGGCCAGGCUGAAGGUUGGGUAACACCAACUGGAGGGCCGAAUGGAUAUACGUUGAAAAGUGUUCCAAUGAGCUGUGGGUAGGGGUGAAAGGCUAAUCAAACUUGGAGAUAGCUCGUACUCCCCGAAAUGCAUUUAGGUGCAGCCUCGGGUAAGGUACUGAUGAGAGGUAGAGCGACUGAUUGGAUGCGAGGGCUUCACCGCCUAUCAAGUCCGGCCAAACUCCGAAUGCUCAUCAGCAACAUCCCGGGAGUGAGGGCAUGGGUGCUAAGGUCCAUGUCCGAGAGGAGAAGAAUCCAGAUCACCGGCUAAGGUCCCCAAAUAGCAGCUAAGUUGCAUUAACGAAGUCCGACCGCAGCGACAGCCAGGAUGUUGGCUUGGAAGCAGCCAUUCAUUUAAAGAGUGCGUAACAGCUCACUGGUCGAGGGGUCGGGCAUGGAUAAUAAUCGGGCAUAAGCUGUUUACCGAAGCUGUGAGAUCGAAAAGAUCGGUAGGGGAGCAUUCCAUUAUCAGCGUUGAAGAUGAGGGGUGACCCUUGUUGGAGCGGAUGGAAAAGCAAAUGCAGGUAUAAGUAACGAUAAAGGGGGUGAAAAACCUCCUCGCCGAAAGACCAAGGGUUCCUGAUCAACGCUAAUCGGAUCAGGGUUAGUCGGGACCUAAGGCUAAGCCGAAGGGCGAUGCCGAUGGAAGAACCGGUUAAUAUUCCGGUACUGCUUUGUGGAGUGAUGUGGAGACGGAGAAGUGACAGCUCGGCCAUCUGACGGAAUAGGUGGUUGAAGGGUGUAGACGUUGAUUGUUGUAGGCAAAUCCGCAACAAGAGUCGAACCUGAAAGUAUGCAGCGUACUUGUACAAUGUAAUAAGAGCGUAAUCAGGCUCCCAAGAAAACCCGCUAAACAUAUCUACAAAGCACCCGUACUCGAAACGGACACACGUGGUCGGGUUGAAAAUACUAAGGCGCUCGAGUGAUUCACGGUUAAGGAACUAGGCAAAAUGGUCCUGUAACUUCGGGAUAAAGGACGCCAAUAGCAAUAUUGGUCGCAGAGAAUAGGCCCAGGCGACUGUUUAACAAAAACACAUGACUAUGCGAAAUAAACGGCGGCCGUAACUAUAACGGUCCUAAGGUAGCGAAAUUCCUUGUCGGGUAAGUUCCGACCUGCACGAAUGGUGUAACGAUCUGGGCACUGUCUCAACUGUGAGCUCGGUGAAAUUGUAGUAUCGGUGAAGAUGCCGAUUACCCGCGAUGGGACGAAAAGACCCCGUGAACCUUUACUAUAGCUUUACAUUGAAAUUGGGCAUGCGAUGUGUAGGAUAGGCCGGAGGCUGAGAGACGGUGACGCCAGUCAUCGUGGAGCCGCUGUUGAAAUACGGCCCUUUGUGUGUUUGGUUUCUAACUCCCGGGAAAGGGAGGACGGUGUAUGGUGGGUAGUUUGACUGGGGUGGUCGCCUCCAAAAGCGUAACGGAGGCUUCUAAAGGUACCCUCAGACCGAUUGGUAACCGGUCGUAGAGUGUAAUGGCAUAAGGGUGCUUGACUGAGAGACCUACAAGUCGAUCAGGUAGGAAACUAGAGCAUAGUGAUCCGGUGGUUCCGUAUGGAAGGGCCAUCGCUCAAAGGAUAAAAGGUACUCCGGGGAUAACAGGCUGAUCGCCGCCAAGAGCUCAUAUCGACGCGGCGGUUUGGCACCUCGAUGUCGGCUCGUCACAUCCUGGGGCUGGAGAAGGUCCCAAGGGUUGGGCUGUUCGCCCAUUAAAGUGGCACGCGAGCUGGGUU
Molecule: ribosomal RNA, 2479 nt
Filed under: human oral metagenome
Description: bacterial LSU rRNA
Rfam family: Bacterial large subunit ribosomal RNA
Source: RNAcentral